AUGCGGCGCCGGCGGGCGCUGCUGACGUCGGAGGAGCGCCGCGACCCCGCCUACGCAACCGACUCGCUCAACUGGGCGAGGUGGUUCGCCUUCGAGCACGAGGAGGCGAGGCGAUGCGGCGUGCGCGAGGUCGACCGCAGUGUGCCGCUGCCGCCGCUCAUCGUCCGCGAUGAGGACCAGGCGGCUGAGGACGCCUACCAGGCGGCGCUUGCGGCAGUCUACCGGGAGAGCGAGGAGGACAAGCGGUGCAGGGUGGAGGCAGUGGAGGAAGAGGAGGCUCGGUACGAGGCGGCCAUGGCGUAG
Molecule: ribosomal RNA, 303 nt
Filed under: Triticum aestivum (bread wheat)
Lineage: Eukaryota; Viridiplantae; Streptophyta; Magnoliopsida; Poales; Poaceae
Description: partial small subunit ribosomal RNA
Source: RNAcentral